AACGAACGCUGGCGGCAGGCCUAACACAUGCAAGUCGAACGCUCCAGCAAUGGAGAGUGGCAGACGGGUGAGUAACGCGUGGGAACCUUCCCUAUGGUUCGGAAUAGCUCAGGGAAACUUGAGGUAAUACCGGAUAAGCCCUUCGGGGAAAGGAUUUAUCGCCAUUGGAUGGGCCCGCGUAGGAUUAGCUAGUUGGUGAGGUAACGGCUCACCAAGGCGACGAUCCUUAGCUGGCUGAGAGGAUGAUCAGCCACACUGGGACUGAGACACGGCCCAGACUCCUACGGGAGGCAGCAGUGGGGAAUAUUGGACAAUGGGCGGCAAGCCUGAUCCAGCCAUGCCGCGUGAGUGACGAAGGCCUUAGGGUUGUAAAGCUCUUUUGGCGGGGAAGAUAAUGACGGUACCCGCAGAAUAAGCUCCGGCUAACUUCGUGCCAGCCGCCGCGGUAAC
This 450-nucleotide ribosomal RNA is filed under the name uncultured bacterium. RNAcentral describes it as "bacterial SSU rRNA". It matches the Rfam family "Bacterial small subunit ribosomal RNA", at positions 29 to 524 of the family's 1533-position model. The record is from RNAcentral.